Molecule: long non-coding RNA, 1914 nt
Filed under: Struthio camelus australis
Lineage: Eukaryota; Metazoa; Chordata; Aves; Struthioniformes; Struthionidae
Description: lncRNA (ENSSCUG00000015309.1)
Source: RNAcentral
GGAGAAGAGGAACUGGGGGGUGAAUCCCUUUGCCCGUGGGACGUCCUGGCUGUGGCGCUGGGUUCCCUGGUGUGGCCCUUAGGUUUGGAGAGGGGAAUCGAGUGGGUGAAGCCUCAGCUCCCGCCUCGCAGUGGGUCCGGUGAUUUAAUCCUCUUGGUGCGUAUGGGAAAAUUAACUGUGCCAGAUGAGCGCGUUGAGCUGCGCGUUACCUCCCCGGAGGAAGGGGCUGGAAUUAUGAGUGACUGCAAUAGCGGUUCGUAGUCAAAGCUCAUUAGCAGGGCUUGCGUUCCUGGUCCUGGCGUUAACUAUGACAGACGUGUGUUUUGUGGUCCCGGAAACAAGUGCUAGUCACGCACAAAUCACGGUGGUCUCUAUAUCCUGCUCGGAAAAAGUGGCAGACGCUUUCAGUCAACAGCAGUUGACUUCUCAGAACUGCUCGUCAGCUGUGAUAAGCUCUUAGGGGAGCGUUUAUGGACACAUGUAAAAUAAUUUCCAAAAAGCAUCCGUCAUCUUUAUCAUCCCCCUACGAAGUAAAAGGGUUUAUUUUGUUGCUGGAAAAGUUUGCAGAGAACUGAAUGAAAUUGGGGAAGAUGGGAGGGAAUUGAUGGUUUUUAGCGUCUUUGCAGACAUGACUCUAGGUUUAAAUACAAGAAAAGAGGGAUAAUUCAUGUUCCUGUAAGACUAAAAACGGGCAGUAAAAAGCCCCUGGUAGCCACAGCCGUGAGUGGUGAGUCAUUGCCCGCCUUGCUUGAGAGCUUUGUCAGCCUCUCACGCUGCAAGCUGGCAGCACCAGGGGACGGACACGGGCGGGAAGCGCCGCGCGGUCUGGCACGCGGCGGAGCUGCGGGAAUAAUCUGAUGCUUUUGGUUUCAUUUAGGUCUGAGCCCUACUCUUCCACAGGUACGUUGUACUACGCCUAAGUUCAAUGUGCCUUAAAAGCGUCUGCGGAGUGACGGGACUUUGUCAUUUCGGUAGCGCUUGGAGUAGUCUGGUGGCUCCUGGAAGCUGAAGGAGUGUGUUUGCUCGUGGUUCUGCCAGAAGAGACCAUCGCUGGCGCUGGAGUGCUGCGGAAGAGAUUUCGGCUUCACGCUUGGCUCUUUAAAUUGUUGGAAAGGUUCGUAGCUGUUGCCGCAGUCAAGCUGCUGGGCAGUUUGCUUUCCUCCCGAGGUUUUGGAGCAGGAGCGGCCCCGUUGCGGCAGCGCCAGUCGUGGCUCUUCGGACACUGCACCGGGCACCGGAGAUUCGCCCGUGCACAAUACCUGCACGGCGUUGAGCGUUGCCCUUUCCAGGGGCCUCUUCCCCGCCGGAAGCUGCGAACGAGUAAGCCGUGCUUUCCAAGGGGAGAUGCCCGCUGCUGGGCGCCGGCACUGCUGGGUUAACGCUGCGUGUGAUGACGGAGACGGCCUCUGCCCAGCGGCGCGGUGGCCCAGCAGUUUAACGGGCCGCAGGGCUGGGCUGGGGAAGGCAGCGGAGCCGCCCUCGCGUUAGAGCCCUGUCUCGGCAUUGCCGGAGGCUUUUUGUGAGACCAGAAUAUUUGGGGAAGUCUUGCUUUAAACACGACUCUGUUUAGAAAAAUGCUGAUGGUUUAAUUUUGAAGUAUUUUUUAAUGUGCUUUUCAGAUGCAUAAAAAUGCUUUCGGCAGGCUGGACCGGGAAGGAACGUUUUGGGUUAUGGGACCGAAACACUUAAACAAAGCCAAAAUAUUUAUUCGUGAUGCAGAGCACAAGCCAUUCUGUGUGGGUGCGUUUGCUAUUUAGAAACUGUUGAAACCUGCUGGGAAAUGUAAAAUCCAGUUCCUGAGCGGCAUUAAUAUCACGCCAGGUGACACGCUCCUAGAAAGCGGGAGCAAAGCGGCCGGGGCUGCGUCGGCGGACAGAGCGCGGACGCUCUGGAGCGCCCCCGGGAGCGCUUCCC